RNAcentral lists this unclassified non-coding RNA (385 nucleotides) under uncultured Phycisphaeraceae bacterium. RNAcentral's name for it is "contains 16S-23S intergenic spacer region". Lineage: Bacteria; Pseudomonadati; Planctomycetota; Phycisphaerae; Phycisphaerales; Phycisphaeraceae. The record is from RNAcentral.
UCCGGUUUAACACCGGCAGUCUCGCUAGAGUGCUCAGCUUUACCUGGUGGCAACUAGCGAUAGGGGUUGCGCUCGUUAAGGGACUUAACCCGACACUUCACAGCACGAGCUGACGACAGCCAUGCAGCACCUGUGCACGUUCCACUACGAGAGUGUCAUUCGCCUUUCAGCGAACUAAUCCGUGCAUGUCAAGCCCAGGAUAAGGUUCUUCGCGUUGCUUCGAAUUGAGCCACAUGCUCCACCGCUUGUGUGAGCCCCCGUCAAUUCCUUUGAGUUUUAGCCUUGCGACCGUACUCCCCAGGCGGUGCACUCAACGUUUUUACUUCGGCCGAGAAAGCAUCAGAGCCUCCUCGAUCUAGUGCACAUCGUUUACGGCGUGGACUAC